RNAcentral lists this long non-coding RNA (703 nucleotides) under Eucalyptus grandis. RNAcentral describes it as "long non-coding RNA (EGRA_LNC005263)". The record is from RNAcentral. Lineage: Eukaryota; Viridiplantae; Streptophyta; Magnoliopsida; Myrtales; Myrtaceae.
CGCACUUCUCUUAACAUUGUUUGUUGUCUGUGCGAUAAUAUGAGAUACCAUCAACAAUUCAAUACACCUGGAAUUCGUUACUAAAACGGAUUUCCUUAAUGCUGAUGCUGCAGCUCAGUGGGUAAUUUGUGAUCUUGGAAGGUAAAAGUAAAUGGAAUAGAUCUAUACGACAUUAGGAAAGAAAGCAAAAGACCAUGGUAAAAUCAUAUCUGAUGUACUGUCACAUCAUCUACUUUGGAGACACCAAGGGAUGAUAUCAAUGAGAGGCCGAUUCUGGUAUGAACAAAGUACUCUUGUCUCUUGUUGACAAUUUUGCGAGUGAUUCUCUCUUUAUUAUUAAGUUCAUUGAUCAGCAAAAAGGCGGUGUCUUCUAUGUAUUGGUUAACGAAAUAUUAAAGUAGGAGAUCAUUGGAUCCAAUCAUCAAGCGGUCUGCCAUUUGCAUUGUAUAUCAGAUUAACUGCUAUCCAUUCUUCAUCAAUUUUCCUCUUGGCAACUACCACUAUCAUGUUACUGUUAAAGACCAAGACGAGAUCUUCAAGUUUCAAAGUGCCCCCUGGUAGAUGGAAUGAAGAAACCUUGGAUUUCGGAAUAAUCUUUGGGACUCUCAUGCGAUUUGACUGUUCCACGCCUAAUGUGUUGUUUAGGUCCAGCUCUUAAAUCCAUCUGAAGUGUUUUCUUGAGGCUGAGAAGAGACAAAAAGCG